This 492-nucleotide ribosomal RNA is filed under the name uncultured bacterium. RNAcentral's name for it is "partial 16S ribosomal RNA". It matches the Rfam family "Bacterial small subunit ribosomal RNA", at positions 29 to 507 of the family's 1533-position model. The record is from RNAcentral.
AGUGAACGCUGGCGGUAGGCCUAACACAUGCAAGUCGAACGGCAGCACAGUAAGAGCUUGCUCUUACGGGUGGCGAGUGGCGGACGGGUGAGGAAUACAUCGGAAUCUACUUUUUCGUGAGGGAUAACGUAGGGAAACUUACGCUAAUACCGCAUACGAUCUACGGGUGAAAGCUGGGGAUCUUCGGACCUUGCGCGAUUGAAUGAGCCGGUGUCGGAUUAGCUAGUUGGCGGGGUAAAGGCCCACCAAGGCGACGAUCCGAAGCUGGUCUUAGAGGAUGGUCAGCCACACGGGAACUGAGACACGGUCCAGACUCCUACGGGAGGCAGCAGUGGGGAAUAUUGCACAAUGGGCGCAAGCCUGAUCCAGCCAUACCGCGUGGGUGAAGAAGGCCUUCGGGUUGUAAAGCCCUUUUGUUGGGAAAGAAAAGCAGCAGGUUAAUACCCCGCUGUUCUGACGGUACCCAAAGAAUAAGCACCGGCUAACUUCGUG